Molecule: ribosomal RNA, 468 nt
Filed under: uncultured bacterium
Lineage: Bacteria
Description: partial 16S ribosomal RNA
Rfam family: Bacterial small subunit ribosomal RNA
Source: RNAcentral
GACGAACGCUGGCGGCGUGCUUAACACAUGCAAGUCGAACGGAAAGGCCCUGCUUUUGUUGGGUGCUCGAGUGGCGAACGGGUGAGUAACACGUGAGUAACCUGCCCUUGACUUUGGGAUAACUUCAGGGAACUGGGGCUAAUACCGGAUAGGAGCUCCUGCUGCGUGGGGGGGGUUGGAAAGUUUCGGCGGUUGGGGAUAGUCUCGCGGCUUAUCAGCUUGUUGGUGGGGUAGUGGCUUACCAAGGCUUUGACGGGUAGCCGGCCUGAGAGGGUGACCGGCCACAUUGGGACUGAGAUACGGACCAGAAGCCUACGGGAGGCAGCAGGGGGGAAUAUUGCGCAAUGGGCGGAAGCCUGAGGCAGCAACGCCGCGUGCGGGAUGAUGGCUUUCGGGUUGUAAACCGCUUUCGCCGGUGCCGAAGAGUGAGUGACGGUAAUGGGUAAGGAAGCAACGGCUAACUACGUG